AUUGAACGCUGGCGGCAGGCCUAACACAUGCAAGUCGAACGAGUGGCGGACGGGUGAGUAAUGUCUGGGAAACUGCCUGAUGGAGGGGGAUAACUACUGGAAACGGUAGCUAAUAACGCAUACCAUCAGAUGUGCCCAGAUGGGAUUAGCUAGUUGGUGGGGUAACGGCUUCCCAAGGCGACGAUCCCUAGGUGGUCUGAGAGGAUGCCCAGCCACACUGUAUCUGAGACACGGUCCAGUGUCCUACGGGAGGCAGCAGGGGGUAAUAUUGCACAUUGGGCGCAGGCCUGAUGCAGCCAUGCCGCGUGUAUGAAGAAGGCUUUCGGGUUGUAAAGUACUUUCAGCGGGGAGGCGUUACCCGCAGAAGAAGCACCGGCUAACUCCGUGCCAGCAGCGCGGUAAUAC
Molecule: ribosomal RNA, 405 nt
Filed under: uncultured bacterium
Lineage: Bacteria
Description: partial 16S ribosomal RNA
Rfam family: Bacterial small subunit ribosomal RNA
Source: RNAcentral